AUUCAGAAUUCAGUCGUGACGAUUCUCUCCGUCGAAUAACGUGUUUCGUGGAGCGAUUCGUUCGAUAUAAUAUAAAUCAUCAAAUGAUUUCGUUCGAUUUUUAGUUUAAAUACGUUAAAACACUUUGUACAUAGUUUCACUUGAAUAAAACAAUGAGAUGGAAAAAGAAAACGUUUUGCUGGCAUAAUUAAUCAACAAUUAGAACGAAACGUGCCUUGAAUCACAAAUCACUAGUGCUUCCCUUCGUUGUUUCGUAACUUUUGUGCUCUUGUAGUAAAAUUUUCUUUUGUUGUUCCUAACAUGCGCGCGUGUGAAUGAUAUUGUUUUUUCGAAUUUCUUAUUAAUUCUCUUCACGUUUUUUUAUAUUUCUUUGGGAAACGAUUGAACUGACGUGAGUUGUUAUGGCAAGCAGUGGUGAUGGAUCGAACGGUGAAACAUCCGGAGGUGUUGCUAAGUCACCAGACAACUCGAGUGUACCGCAUAGCCGGAUGCAAGAGAUGCAAACUCAGAGCACGGAGAAACUCACAGAAUCAUCAUCAUUAUCUCCAAACAAUAAUCAAACUUAUUUUGCUGAGGAAAAAAUCCAUAUACCAGAAAUAGAAGGUACUGCAUUCAGUUUUCGAAAGCUAUGGGCGUUCACCGGUCCAGGUUUCUUAAUGUCCAUAGCUUAUCUCGAUCCUGGUAACAUAGAGUCUGACCUGCAAUCUGGAUCCAUUGCUCAAUACAAGUUGUUAUGGGUGUUACUGAGCGCGACUGUGUUGGGCCUGGUGAUGCAAAGGCUGAGUGCACGUUUGGGUGUCGUAAGUGGACUUCAUUUGGCCGAAAUGUGUUAUCGUCAGUACAAAGCAGUUCCACGAAUUUUGUUAUGGAUUAUGAUAGAAAUCGCGAUUAUAGGAAGCGACAUGCAAGAGGUCAUAGGCACUGCAACUGCGAUUUAUCUUUUAUCGAAUCGUGUAGUUCCUCUGUGGGGAGGCGUUCUUAUAACGAUAAUCGAUACAUUUACGUUUUUAUUCCUUGACAAAUAUGGCUUACGAAAACUCGAAUUUUUUUUCGGUUUUCUCAUCACCGUUAUGGCUGUGACGUUUGGAUUCGAGUACGUUAAGUCGGCGCCACCGCAGCUGGAUGUAAUAAAAGGAAUGUUUGUGCCUAUGUGCGAAAAUUGCGACAGAGCCGUACUGCUCCAGGCAGUUGGUGUUAUCGGCGCUGUCAUAAUGCCCCAUAAUUUGUAUCUCCACAGUGCUCUUGUAAAGUCGAGGGACAUCGAUCGAAGGAAUCCGGUGAAGGUCAAAGAAGCUAACAAAUAUUACUUCAUCGAGGCUUCGUUCGCUCUUUUCGUCUCUUUUGUUAUAAACGUAUUCGUCGUCGCUGUUUUCGCACACGGUUUGUUCGAUAAAACCGACAGCGAUGUGCUUCAAGUUUGCAUCGAUUCGAACAACUCUUUGGGCAUGGAGACGUUCACGAACGGAACUGAGCGUUUCCAAGCCGAUUUGUACAAAGGUGGAAUUUUCUUAGGUUGUCAAUUCGGAGUUGCGGCGAUGUUUAUAUGGGCAGUUGGAAUUUUAGCUGCAGGACAAUCGUCAACGAUGACGGGAACUUACGCUGGUCAAUUUGCGAUGGAAGGAUUUUUAAAUCUGCAAUGGGUCCGUUGGAGACGAGUUUUGUUCACUCGAACAAUCGCAAUCGUUCCAACGUUUCUCGUUGCUAUUCUUGCCGACAUGGAGCAUCUCAGUGGAAUGAACGACAUUCUUAACGCCGUUAUGAGCCUUCAAUUGCCAUUCGCUACUCUUCCGGUUAUCGCCUUUACGAGUAGCGUUCACAUAAUGGGCGAUUUUAAAAACGGGUUCUUUACAAACCUUAUAUCGACGGCACUGUCUGUGAUUGUGAUAACGAUAAACAUUUACUUCGUGAUUGACACAAUAAACGAGAAUGGAGUUGGAAGUGAUAAUUGGGGAGUACUUUUAGCCAUAGCGAUUUACGCAUUAUUGUAUCUCGCCUUUUGUCUAUACCUCUCGAUACACAUGGCGAUUUCAAUGGGAGCAACUUCGCUAACCAACAACAGGUUUAUCGCGAAAUACAUCGGUGGUCCAGUAUCUACGAAUUUCAGUCUCACAAACCCUGCCGCUUAUUCGAGUUUCGAAAACAGCUCGGAAACAUCUUUAGACUCGUAGAGGAACGAUAUUUACCAUAACCUCGAGCCUUGCUGUGCCUACUCUGUCGUUUUCCAUACGUCUCAUCACCAUUCUUUGUUCUACAAGAUAACAGAAAGUACGAAAAAAAAACAAAAACAAAAAAUCAAGCAAACGAAAUACGAAACAAAAUCAUUCCAUCGGAACCCGCAAUGUGCUUGUGCGCCAAACAUGUACCGUGUCGUCGGCAUGUCAGUCAUUAUUGUAUGUAGCAACCGGAUACAGGAACAAAUUUCCAGCGCAAAGAAAUUGAAAUGUCGAGUAACAUCACAAAAACUUCCACUGUUUCAAGUAUGGCGUUACGACCAAGAAAUCAGACGCUUGAAAUACGAUCUAGUCAUUUCAGUACGUUGAAGUAACUCUACCGAAGAAGCUUCCAGAAUAAAUCCAGCCUUCUCGAUCCAGGAGAAUGUGGGCGGAAUAUUUAGAACGUUACCCGAAUUUUGAAAAAUCUGUUUUCGCGAUUUGGCUCAAAGAGUACGACAAGAAUCACACUAAUCACAUAUCGAACAUUUCAUAAGAAAAAAUAAAGGACGUGAACGAUAAUAAUCAUAGAAUUUUUGACACUUGAUAUUCGAAAGAGGAAGCAACGUUGCGACACACCGUGUAAAUAGACAUGCAAAUAUUUUUUUAAUUCAUGAAAUUGUGAUAAUUGAUGAAAUAAAAAAACAAAUUGUUACAUACUAAAAA
RNA transcript from Venturia canescens, 2876 nucleotides. It is a transcript of the gene named Malvolio, with no coding region annotated. Lineage: Eukaryota; Metazoa; Arthropoda; Insecta; Hymenoptera; Ichneumonidae. The record is from RefSeq and is a predicted model, not a curated record. The transcript has 15 exons.